AGACGUCUACAUUAGAUACCCCUGUAGUCCCAGCCGUAAACAAUGUGCGUUAGGUGUGUCGGUAACCACGCGUUACUGAUGCGCCGAAGAGAAAUCGUGAAACGCACCACCUGGGAAGUACGGUCGCAAGGCUGAAACUUAAAGGAAUUGGCGGGGAGCACCACAACAGGUGGAGCCUGCGGUUUAAUUGGAUUCAACGCCGGACAUCUCACCGGAUAAGACAGCUGAAUGAUUGUCAAUCUGAAGGUUUUACAUGACUAGCUG
This 264-nucleotide ribosomal RNA is filed under the name uncultured archaeon. RNAcentral's name for it is "partial 16S ribosomal RNA". It matches the Rfam family "Archaeal small subunit ribosomal RNA", at positions 714 to 982 of the family's 1478-position model. The record is from RNAcentral.